RNAcentral lists this ribosomal RNA (492 nucleotides) under uncultured bacterium. RNAcentral's name for it is "partial 16S ribosomal RNA". It matches the Rfam family "Bacterial small subunit ribosomal RNA", at positions 29 to 507 of the family's 1533-position model. The record is from RNAcentral.
AGUGAACGCUGGCGGUAGGCCUAACACAUGCAAGUCGAACGGCAGCACAGUAAGAGCUUGCUCUUACGGGUGGCGAGUGGCGGACGGGUGAGGAAUACAUCGGAAUCUACUUUUUCGUGGGGGAUAACGUAGGGAAACUUACGCUAAUACCGCAUACGACCUACGGGUGAAAGCAGGGGAUCUUCGGACCUUGCGCGAUUGAAUGAGCCGAUGUCGUAUUAGCUAGUUGGCGGGGUAAAGGCCCACCAAGGCGACGAUCCGUAGCUGGUCUGAGAGGAUGAUCGGCCACACUGGAACUGAGACACGGUCCAGACUCCUACGGGAGGCAGCAGUGGGGAAUAUUGGACAAAGGGCGCAAGCCUGAUCCAGCCAUACCGCGUGUGUGAAGAAGGCCUUCGGGUUGUAAAGCCCUUUUGUUGGGAAAGAAAAGCAGCAGGUUAAUACCCCGCUGUUCUGACGGUACCCAAAGAAUAAGCACCGGCUAACUUCGUG